CAGCAGCCGCGGUAAUACGAAGGGUGCAAGCGUUAAUCGGAAUUACUGGGCGUAAAGCGUGCGUAGGCGGUGGGUUAAGUCUGCUGUGAAAUCCCCGGGCUCAACCUGGGAAUGGCAGUGGAUACUGGCUCGCUAGAGUGUGUCAGAGGAUGGUGGAAUUCCCGGUGUAGCGGUGAAAUGCGUAGAGAUCGGGAGGAACACCGAUGGCGAAGGCAGCCCCCUGGGCCAACACUGACGCUCAUGCACGAAAGCGUGGGGAGCAAACAGGAUUAGAUACCCCCGUAGUCCCUGUCUCUUAUAC
Molecule: ribosomal RNA, 301 nt
Filed under: uncultured bacterium
Lineage: Bacteria
Description: partial 16S ribosomal RNA
Rfam family: Bacterial small subunit ribosomal RNA
Source: RNAcentral